GGAGGCACAGACGGGGGCCCGUGGGGGCAGGACGGCAGCCUCCCCGAAGCACAGGGCCAGGUGCUGAGCUGGGAAGGCACCAUCAUAACGCCCUGGAGGGCCGGGCUUGAAAUGAGAACUCAGAAAACCACACCAGAGCAUAGCCCACCUCCCUUCUCUUCCCUGACCGUGCCCCCCAGCAGAGGACCCUGGCCCACAGCCAAGCCACACCCACGCCACUCCUGCGAACAGCCACUUCUAAGUAUGAGGAACCAAGGAAACGUUACUAAGACAACUUGGUGGGGGGAGCCAGUGUUCGCAGACCCUAGGAUCCCUUUACAGUUUCUGAGCACAAGACUCCAGCCUGCCCAUGUGAUUUCACUCUCUACAGCCAGUGGCCGCACCUUUUGUCAGAGGCCUGCCCGGGCUGCUGGAAACUGCUUUGGCUGCGAGUGUUGAGAGCUGGCAGUGCCUUGAACCAAUGACUGACAGGUGUGCCUGCCACAAUCUGACAGUCCAUGUUCAAUUAUCUGAGGUUCCCUGCCAGUUCCUCACUCCCUCUGUGGGGAAUGGCCUUUCCCCCAAGAGGUUUGCACUGACCACUUACCUCUUCCCACUGGUGAAUAUAUCGAAUGAGGCGGGAGAGGCGUAACAGGCGUAAGAGGCUGAGGAUCUUCGUGAAGCGGACAAUGCGCAGGGCCCGGGCAGUCUUGUAGACCUCCGAGUCGAUGCGUGUCUCCACAAUGAGGAAGAUGUAGUCCACGGGGAUGGAGGAAAUGAAAUCUACCAUGAACCAGCUUUUCAGGGAAGCCAGGAGGAAGGAAGUGGGAAAGAAAGAGGUAAGCUUUCCUCGACUCUUCAGAGGGUCUCACUGUAAACCAAAGUGCCCCUGCCUGCAGAGUUCCAGGUUGCAAAGAAAUUACUUCAUAGCAAA
Molecule: long non-coding RNA, 913 nt
Organism: Pongo pygmaeus (Bornean orangutan)
Lineage: Eukaryota; Metazoa; Chordata; Mammalia; Primates; Hominidae
Exons: 6
Source: RefSeq, a predicted model, not a curated record